RNAcentral lists this ribosomal RNA (413 nucleotides) under uncultured microorganism. RNAcentral's name for it is "bacterial SSU rRNA". It matches the Rfam family "Bacterial small subunit ribosomal RNA", at positions 9 to 420 of the family's 1533-position model. The record is from RNAcentral.
GAGUUUGAUCUUGGCUCAGAUUGAACGCUGGCGGCAUGCCUUACACAUGCAAGUCGAACGGCAGCAUGAUCUAGCUUGCUAGAUUGAUGGCGAGUGGCGAACGGGUGAGUAAUACAUCGGAACGUGCCCUGUAGUGGGGAUAACUAGUCGAAAGAUUAGCUAAUACCGCAUACGACCUGAGGGUGAAAGUGGGGGACCGCAAGGCCUCAUGCUAUAGGAGCGGCCGAUGUCUGAUUAGCUAGUUGGUGGGUAAAGGCCCACCAAGGCGACGACCAGUAGCUGGUCUGAGAGGACGAUCAGCCACACUGGGACUGAGACACGGCCCAGACUCCUACGGGAGGCAGCAGUGGGGAAUUUUGGACAAUGGGCGAAAGCCUGAUCCAGCAAUGCCGCGUGUGUGAAGAAGGCCUCGG